AACGAACGCUGGCGGCAGGCCUAACACAUGCAAGUCGAGCGGACCUUUCGGGGUCAGCGGCGGACGGGUGAGUAACGCGUGGGAAUAUGCCCUUCUCUACGGAAUAGUCCUGGGAAGCUGGGGGUAAUAUCGUAUACGCCCCUUGGGGGAAAGAUUCAUCGGGGAAGGAUUAGCCCGCGUUGGUUUAGGUUGUGGGGGGGGUAAUGGCCUACCAAGCAGACGAUCCAUAGCUGGUUUGAGAGGAUGAUCAGCCACACUGGGACUGAGACACGGCCCAGACUCCUACGGGAGGCAGCAGUGGGGAAUCUUAGACAAUGGGGGCAACCCUGAUCUAGCCAUGCCGCGUGAGUGAUGAAGGCCUUAGGGUUGUAAAGCUCUUUCAGCUGGGAAGAUAAUGACGGUACCAGCAGAAGAAGCCCCGGCUAACUCCGUG
This 433-nucleotide ribosomal RNA is filed under the name uncultured bacterium. Its description in RNAcentral is "partial 16S ribosomal RNA". It matches the Rfam family "Bacterial small subunit ribosomal RNA", at positions 29 to 507 of the family's 1533-position model. The record is from RNAcentral.